GACGAACGCUGGCGGCGUGCUUAACACAUGCAAGUCGAACGGAAAGGCCCUGCUUUCGUGGGGUGCUCGAGUGGCGAACGGGUGAGUAACACGUGAGUAACCUGCCCUUGACUUUGGGAUAACUUCAGGAAACUGGGGCUAAUACCGGAUAGGAGCUCCUGCUGCAUGGUGGGGGUUGGAAAGUUUCGGCGGUUGGGGAUGGACUCGCGGCUUAUCAGCUUGUUGGUGGGGUAGUGGCUUACCAAGGCUUUGACGGGUAGCCGGCCUGAGAGGGUGACCGGCCACAUGGGGACUAAGAGACGGCCCAGACUCCAACGGGAGGCAGCAGUGGGGAAUAUGGCACAAUGGGCCGGAGCCUGAUGCAGCAACGCCGCGUGCGGGAUGACGUCCUUCGGGUUGUAAACCGCUGUCGCCUGUGACGAAGCGUGAGUGACGGUAAUGGGUAAAGAAGCACCGGCUAACUACGUG
This 468-nucleotide ribosomal RNA is filed under the name uncultured bacterium. RNAcentral's name for it is "partial 16S ribosomal RNA". It matches the Rfam family "Bacterial small subunit ribosomal RNA", at positions 28 to 507 of the family's 1533-position model. The record is from RNAcentral.